GACGAGCGCUGGCGGCGUGCCUAAUACAUGCCAGUUGAGCGCUGAAGGUUGGUACUUGUACCAACUGGAUGAGCAGCGAACGGGUGAGUAACGCGUGGGGAAUCUGCCUUUGAGCGGGGGACAACAUUUGGAAACGAAUGCUAAUACCGCAUAAAAACUUUAAACACAAGUUUUAAGUUUGAAAGAUGCAAUUGCAUCACUCAAAGAUGAUCCCGCGUUGUAUUAGCUAGUUGGUGAGGUAAAGGCUCACCAAGGCGAUGAUACAUAGCCGACCUGAGAGGGUGAUCGGCCACAUUGGGACUGAGACACGGCCCAAACUCCUACGGGAGGCAGCAGUAGGGAAUCUUCGGCAAUGGACGAAAGUCUGACCGAGCAACGCCGCGUGAGUGAAGAAGGUUUUCGGAUCGUAAAACUCUGUUGGUAGAGAAGAACGUUGGUGAGAGUGGAAAGCUCAUCAAGUGACGGUAACUACCCAGAAAGGGACGGCUAACUACGUG
Molecule: ribosomal RNA, 497 nt
Filed under: uncultured bacterium
Lineage: Bacteria
Description: partial 16S ribosomal RNA
Rfam family: Bacterial small subunit ribosomal RNA
Source: RNAcentral